This 435-nucleotide ribosomal RNA is filed under the name uncultured bacterium. RNAcentral's name for it is "partial 16S ribosomal RNA". It matches the Rfam family "Bacterial small subunit ribosomal RNA", at positions 29 to 507 of the family's 1533-position model. The record is from RNAcentral.
AACGAACGCUGGCGGCAGGCUUAACACAUGCAAGUCGAACGCAUGCCUUCGGGCAUGAGUGGCAGACGGGUGAGUAACGCGUGGGAACCUACCCCUUGGUACGGGAUAGCUCCGGGAAACUGGAGAUAAUACCGUAUGUGUCCUGAGGGACAAAGAUUCAUCGCCAAGGGAUGGGCCCGCGUCGGAUUAGCUAGUUGGUGGGGUAACGGCCUACCAAGGCGACGAUCCGUAGCUGGUCUAAGAGGAUGAUCAGCCACAUUGGGACUGAGACACGGCCCAAACUCCUACGGGAGGCAGCAGUGGGGAAUAUUGGACAAUGGGCGCAAGCCUGAUCCAGCCAUGCCGCGUGAGUGAUGAAGGCCCUAGGGUUGUAAAGCUCUUUCACCGGUGACGAUAAUGACGGUAACCGGAGAAGAAGCCCCGGCUAACCUCGUG